Molecule: long non-coding RNA, 1708 nt
Organism: Anguilla rostrata (American eel)
Lineage: Eukaryota; Metazoa; Chordata; Actinopteri; Anguilliformes; Anguillidae
Exons: 4
Source: RefSeq, a predicted model, not a curated record
AGCCAUCACCCCCCCCCUCCCUCCCUCCCUCCCUCAGAGACAGCAUGCAUUUCAGUGGAUACCACAGACACCGCCAUAGAUACCACCAUAAAUACCAUAGAGUUCACCUCACAGCAUCACUUCUCCUGGGCAUCGCGGCAUAGACCGGGGGAAGAACACUCCCCUGCUUCCGCCGUCCAGACAGCGAUGGGACCUCGCAGCACGCGUUCGCGGGGAAGCCUGACAGUCGGCUGUGCGGUAUGAAUAAAUGUGAGCAGAUGUUUUUUUUUAGAGACGAAGACGCCGAAUUCGCCCUCCCCAACCGUCUCCGGCGCUUUGAAGCUCGCCGGAGGGUACGGACGAUGACGAGACCACAUAGACACGAAGGAAGAGCGGGGAGCAAACUCUCAAAAAACCCCACCCGAGGGAGGAAAAGCCGGGGUUUGAACCCGCAACAUUUUGUUGCGCAGAAAGCUGCUACAAAGGUGACAGUUUUGUGGGAUAUGUAGUCAAUAACGCGUCGCGAUUGGUGAAGCCGGCGAGACGGUGGACUUCAUUUCCCGAGUAAACCAUCGUCGAAGGACAUGCGGUGGCCAUCUGCAACUCGUAAAUAUACUUCCGCCUGCAGUGCUGCAGAAAGCUUGUCUGCAGAAGCAGGAAGUCCCCAGAUGGAGGCGCUGUCACUACGGACAAAAGCUGCGCAAACUGAAGGGACGAACGGGGAUUCGAACCCUGAAGCUCAGCGUUCCAAGCUUUGGACAAUACCUUUACGCCACCGUCAUGUUAGCGGUUGCGCGGCUGCAGAAAUGGCCUGAUGAUGAGACAACCCAAGUAUAAGCGAAACAAAGACGAAGGGGGGUUCGAACCCCCAACCUCUGCGUCCGUAGGCAAAGACAAUACCGCUGCGCCACCUUCUCUUCUGUGAAUCGGCCGGCUUUUCUGUGGGUAGAAGAAGAUGACACAACAGAAAUAUUUACAAAAAAAUCUCAGAAAUUUUGCCUUCAUCUACUAACUUCGGACCUGAAGGUGAUGAACCUUGUUACCUAUGUCUUACAGCUGGUUCUUAGAGCCACAGCAGAGGGGGACUGAACUUACUAUCUUGGGAUUCGUGGAACAGGGUACUCUGUCUUGCACCACGAAGCCCUUCAAGAAUUCCUGGGUGUUCAUUAGUGAACUUAUUCGCAGACCGAUAAGAAUUAAACAGGAAGAGCUCAGCUUUGAAUAGCAGAGAUCCAGAUUAGGUGCUCUCCUAAAAUGAACUCUACGAAACUGUGGAAAAAUAUAAACUGACACCCUAAUAUAUUUUGGCUUAUUUAAAUAAAGCUUUUGAUUCAUUGGACUUCCCUUGAAUUUGCGAUUUAUGAUUAGAACAGGUGACUGACAAGUCCCAUUCAAACAGAUGACCUAAUUAAAUGUGUAAUGGUGUUGCAUCUUAUAGGUGUGCCUGAAAGUGAUUAGUUGGUUACAUUUUUUAUGCCUUUGAAUGUUUUCUUUUACAAGGAUGAAAAAUGUAAUCUAGCCAGUAAUGUACUAUGGAGAACAGUCAUUCUGUUUUUAUAAAGUGCAGUGGAUAUGUAUUGGGGGACAGGGCUUGUAAAUGCAUUUUAUUUUCUUUUUAAUAAUGAAAUAAAAUUAAUUGUGUUUUGUAAUUUUAUUCUGCAAUUACGUUUCAUUCUUGAAAGUUGUGCUGCCAUUGCUGAAUAAAAAUAAUGCACAAUAAGAACAGUGA